GCGCAACAACUUCCACGUGGCUUACCUUUUCAGUCUUGUGUCAUUGCUUGUAUCGCAUUGAAUGCAUGGUGGGUUUCUUGUGUUGCAUGCCUAAUUGAUGGUAUCAUUUGAAGAACUGAUGUCCCUUUUCAUCUUGUGUCGCACAUGCGAUGUGAGAUGAACCUUGAAGUAGCCUUUGUGAUCCACUCUUUCGAUGUACACGCAUUGAUUUUGUGGCCCACUGUGUGUUGCUUGGUCUCAUGGAUAUGGAACCUGGUGUGGGCAUGGGAUCUUUACUAGUUCCUUGUUUGCCCUGGUUUAGCUUUUCUAAAACACGAUUGUUUAUCACAUUUUAAUGUGGUAGGCUAUAUCGGAUAUGAAUGCUACCUGGUUGAUCCUGCC
RNAcentral lists this unclassified non-coding RNA (381 nucleotides) under Leontopodium pusillum. Its description in RNAcentral is "partial contains external transcribed spacer and 18S ribosomal RNA". Lineage: Eukaryota; Viridiplantae; Streptophyta; Magnoliopsida; Asterales; Asteraceae. The record is from RNAcentral.